RNAcentral lists this ribosomal RNA (484 nucleotides) under uncultured bacterium. RNAcentral's name for it is "partial 16S ribosomal RNA". It matches the Rfam family "Bacterial small subunit ribosomal RNA", at positions 30 to 507 of the family's 1533-position model. The record is from RNAcentral.
AUUGAACGCUGGCGGCAGGCCUAACACAUGCAAGUCGAGCGGAUGGAGGGAGCUUGCUCCUGGAUUCAGCGGCGGACGGGUGAGUAAUGCCUAGGAAUCUGCCUGGUAGUGGGGGAUAACGUCCGGAAACGGGCGCUAAUACCGCAUACGUCCUGAGGGAGAAAGUGGGGGAUCUUCGGACCUCACGCUAUCAGAUGAGCCUAGGUCGGAUUAGCUAGUUGGUGGGGUAAAGGCCUACCAAGGCGACGAUCCGUAACUGGUCUGAGAGGAUGAUCAGUCACCCUGGAACUGAGACACGGUCCAGACUCCUACGGGAGGCAGCAGUGGGGAAUAUUGGACAAUGGGCGAAAGCCUGAUCCAGCCAUGCCGCGUGUGUGAAGAAGGUCUUCGGAUUGUAAAGCACUUUAAGUUGGGAGGAAGGGCAGUAAGUUAAUACCUUGCUGUUUUGACGUUACCAACAGAAUAAGCACCGGCUAACUUCGUG